Macrobrachium nipponense is the source of this 105-nucleotide small nuclear RNA. The record is from RefSeq and is a predicted model, not a curated record. NCBI's taxonomy places the organism in Eukaryota, Metazoa, Arthropoda, Malacostraca, Decapoda, Palaemonidae.
GUACUUGCUUUGGCAGUAUUUAUGCUGAAAUUGGACCAACACAGAGGUGGUUAGCCUGACCAUUGUGCUAGGAUGUUGUACAAUUGUGAAUCAUUUCACCUUAUU